GACAGAGGGUGCGAACGUUGCUCGGAAUCACUGGGCGUAAAGCGCGUGUAGGCGGACCAGCAAGUCAGGUGUGAAAUCCCUGGGCUCAACCUAGGAACUGCAUCUGAAACUGCUGGUCUUGAGUGUCGGAGAGGGAAGCGGAAUUCCAGGUGUAGAGGUGAAAUUCGUAGAUAUCUGGAGGAACACCGGUGGCGAAGGCG
Molecule: ribosomal RNA, 200 nt
Filed under: uncultured bacterium
Lineage: Bacteria
Description: partial 16S ribosomal RNA
Rfam family: Bacterial small subunit ribosomal RNA
Source: RNAcentral